This 247-nucleotide ribosomal RNA is filed under the name uncultured Actinomycetales bacterium. RNAcentral's name for it is "partial 16S ribosomal RNA". It matches the Rfam family "Bacterial small subunit ribosomal RNA", at positions 81 to 334 of the family's 1533-position model. Lineage: Bacteria; Bacillati; Actinomycetota; Actinomycetes; Actinomycetales. The record is from RNAcentral.
CACUGGUACUCGAGUGGCGAACGGGUGAGUAACACGUGGGUGAUCUGCCUUGCACUCUGGGAUAAGCUUGGGAAACUGGGUCUAAUACCGGAUAGGAACCGUCUUUAGUGUGGUGGUUGGAAAGUUUUUUCUGCAAGAUGAGCUCGCGGCCUAUCAGCUUGUUGGUGGGGUAAUGGCCUACCAAGGCGUCGACGGGUAGCCGGCCUGAGAGGGUGUACGGCCACAUUGGGACUGAGAUACGGCCCAG